This 1590-nucleotide long non-coding RNA is filed under the name Homo sapiens (human). RNAcentral describes it as "HSALNT0064763". The stretch from base 1012 to 1121 matches the Rfam family "Y RNA". Lineage: Eukaryota; Metazoa; Chordata; Mammalia; Primates; Hominidae. The record is from RNAcentral.
UCUUGCAGCUUCUUUGGGACAUGGUCUUUUUCUUUCCAUGUCAAGUCUAGCUCAUUCCUGUAUGGGCUAUACUGUUACUUAGUCUUAGUUAUCAGCCUGGCAGCCGGGAAAGGUAAUGCAGAUCCUGAGGGAGCCUGUGUUGCUUCGCACAGCAGAGGCCUCCGUAGUGUCUUCCCAUACUGGGAAUAGGAGAUGAGAGUGCUAACUCUUAAUAGAGAGAGAUGGGUGCCUCUGAAGGUUCUGAGGGUACAGAUCUCCAACUCAAUGGGUAGCUCCAGAAUAGAAAUUGCCUAUUAGAACUCUUACAAUCUACUUUAUAUAUUUGAAUAUAGAAACAAUAUUUUAAAUUAGUUACUGCCAGGAAAAAAUGAAUCAAAAAGCAUGUCAUGAUAAAUGAAUAAGAUGCUAUUGCAAUGAAUGUAUCAAUUUUGCAAAAUCAGAUUGGAGCAAGCUAUUACCAAGUAUCAGUUUCAGUUUCUUGUCAAUUUUCUCUUCUCUCUUGGAGUAACAAUAUUUUGGGAAUCCCAGAGUCUCAAAAAUAUGUGAACAGAGAUGACAAGAAGUUUGUAUGUAUGUAUGCUUGUUUGCUUUUACUACAUUGUAAGCUAUGAGGAGAAAUAAUCAAGGAAAGACACUUAGAAUGCAGCUACAAAGACAGAAAGCAAGCAGAAAUUUCAAGUUACUGUAGGACAUUCUGUGAGAACAAGUCACUAAUGACAUAAGGAAGACUGAUAGGUUCCCUACUCUGGGGUCAAUCUUGGGAUUACCUAUCCAAAAACAUUUUCAGUGAAUAUAGUGACAUUUUACCAUUGAAGCUGUAAUUUUUAUCACAUUUAAAUAGUUUGCAGUCUUCAAGAUCAACUUUCUGCACACAAUGCUCAAACUUCAUUUUUGAUUGAAGCAAUACUAUUGUUUUCAGUGAAAACUUUCGCAAUUUAUCAUGUACCAUCCUUUUAAACACACUAAGUAAAGGGAAAUGGUUUUGAGACGAGAUGUUCUCAAAAUGAAGCAGGCUGAUCCGAAGGUAGUGAGUUAUGUCAGUUGUUUGUUCCUAGUCAGUUAUAAAUCGAACUCCUGUUUCUACUUCCCCACUUCUAGCCAUUGCAUUUGACUAGUCUAAAUAUAUAACAGAAGCAGUGUUCACUAAUAAAUUCAAGAUAUAAGCACUCCCAAAGUUUUACAUGUGAUUAAUUUGGCCCCAUUUAUUAUUUUUUAAGUUGCUGCUCUGUUCACUAACAACUCAUGUAUUUUAUUGAAAUAUUUUUGUUUGCACUUUGCAAAUAGACAUAAUUUCACAAAUAUUCUCAUUGCAAAUAGUAGUAAACAAAAAUCAGUGAAAAACUAGAUCAAUAUUUGUCUUCAACGUAACGUGUGAAUACACUUUGAGCAUAUGAAAAUGUAUCCUUCAAUAAUAGAGUUCAAAAAGGUCCACUGUUUCAGUUCAAAUACCAAUUUUUGAGGCAAAACAUGUUUUGGCCAAAUCUGCAGUUCCAAAUCUUCAUCAAAUCUCCUCCUGGUCAGUAGCUUCGUUACCCACAAGGAUUCUGAAACAGAUUUUAUAGGUGGCUUUAAUUAUAUCAUUUUUUUGUU